RNAcentral lists this ribosomal RNA (449 nucleotides) under uncultured bacterium. RNAcentral's name for it is "partial 16S ribosomal RNA". It matches the Rfam family "Bacterial small subunit ribosomal RNA", at positions 29 to 523 of the family's 1533-position model. The record is from RNAcentral.
AACGAACGCUGGCGGCAUGCCUAACACAUGCAAGUCGAACGAGAUCUUCGGGUCUAGUGGCGCACGGGUGCGUAACGCGUGGGAAUCUGCCCUUUGGUUCGGAAUAACAGUUGGAAACGACUGCUAAUACCGGAUGAUGACGAAAGUCCAAAGAUUUAUCGCCAGAGGAUGAGCCCGCGUAGGAUUAGCUAGUGUGUGUGGUAAAGGCGCACCAAGGCGACGAUCCUUAGCUGGUCUGAGGGGAUGAUCAGCCACACUGGGACUGAGACACGGCCCAGACUCCUACGGGAGGCAGCAGUGGGGAAUAUUGGACAAUGGGCGAAAGCCUGAUCCAGCAAUGCCGCGUGAGUGAUGAAGGCCUUAGGGUUGUAAAGCUCUUUUACCCGGGAUGAUAAUGACAGUACCGGGAGAAUAAGCUCCGGCUAACUCCGUGCCAGCCGCCGCCGUAA